GUCUGACCCCCCCCCCUAGGUGCGUGACGUCAUUUAUGGACGGCCCCCCACUUUGCGCAAGAGCGCAGAAGCGUGGUCACCACAUCUACCACGCCUCCAUAUAAGGAACGAAACAGGUCGCCUUCAGCCAAGUCUCUGGAUCCUUUAUUCAAGCUUUUCAUUGUUCGUGGAAAGAAAAGGUGGCAGCCAUCUCAAGCCAGAGGACGAGAGGACUGUAGCCGCCACGCAUAUAAAGGAUUUGUAGUGAAAAACUUUGUUUUUACUGGUUAUACUUGUUU
This is a long non-coding RNA of Lethenteron reissneri (Far Eastern brook lamprey), 278 nucleotides long. RefSeq lists it as uncharacterized. NCBI's taxonomy places the organism in Eukaryota, Metazoa, Chordata, Hyperoartia, Petromyzontiformes, Petromyzontidae. The record is from RefSeq and is a predicted model, not a curated record.